Non-coding RNA from Pteropus alecto (black flying fox), 73 nucleotides. Lineage: Eukaryota; Metazoa; Chordata; Mammalia; Chiroptera; Pteropodidae. The record is from Rfam.
GGUUCCAUAGUGUAGCUGUUUGUACGUCUGCUUUACACGCAGAAGGUCCUGGGUUCGCGCCCCAGUGAAGCCA